GCUCAGGACAACAUUUUCAAGAUGGAAAAUGUUUUUGACUUAUGUAGCUGUGAUCAAAUUUUCGCAGCCACGGUUAAGUCAAAAGUAUGUUUCAUCUUAGAGAAUGUUGUCCAGAAC
Non-coding RNA from Brassica napus (rape), 117 nucleotides. The record is from Rfam. NCBI's taxonomy places the organism in Eukaryota, Viridiplantae, Streptophyta, Magnoliopsida, Brassicales, Brassicaceae.